CCUACGGGAGGCAGCAGUAGGGAAUAUUGCUCAAUGGGGGAAACCCUGUAGCAGCAACGCCGCGUGGGGGAUGAAGGUUUUCGGAUUGUAAACUCCUUUUGUUAGAGAAGAUAAUGACGGUAUCUAACGAAUAAGCACCGGCUAACUCCGUGCCAGCAGCCGCGGUAAUACGGAGGGUGCAAGCGUUACUCGGAAUCACUGGGCGUAAAGAGCGCGUAGGCGGGAGAGCAAGUCAGAUGUGAAAUCCUAGGGCUUAACCAUAGAACUGCAUUUGAAACUGUUAUUCUAGAGUAUGGGAGAGGUAGGUGGAAUUCUUGGUGUAGGGGUAAAAUCCGUAGAGAUCAAGAGGAAUACUCAUUGCGAAGGCGACCUGCUAGAACAUAACUGACGCUGAUGCGCGAAAGCGUGGGGAGCAAACAGGAUUAGAUACCCCAGUAGUC
RNAcentral lists this ribosomal RNA (440 nucleotides) under uncultured bacterium. RNAcentral describes it as "partial 16S ribosomal RNA". It matches the Rfam family "Bacterial small subunit ribosomal RNA", at positions 338 to 795 of the family's 1533-position model. The record is from RNAcentral.